Molecule: ribosomal RNA, 161 nt
Filed under: uncultured bacterium
Lineage: Bacteria
Description: partial 16S ribosomal RNA
Rfam family: Bacterial small subunit ribosomal RNA
Source: RNAcentral
UGGGGAAUUUUGGACAAUGGGCGCAAGCCUGAUCCAGCUAUUCCGCGUGUGGGAUGAAGGCCCUCGGGUUGUAAACCACUUUGUAGAGAACGAAAAGACACCUUUUAAUAAAGGGUGUUGCUGACGGUACUCUAAGAAUAAGCACCGGCUAACUACGUGCC